CAUAAUUAUUGAGACUAGCUGUUCCGCACUUGUUGAUGCUACCACCGUUUUAAGCAAGACAUUACCACAGCUAUCUCUUAUCACUUUCAUCACUACACAAACCCAUCUACAAUUCCUGAAAGAAAGAAAAAACUAUGGCGGAAGGAGCUUUGUUCGAUCUUGCAGGGAACGUCCUUCAACUGCUGGGCUCUAUCAUUGUUGAAGAGGUCAAACUGGCCUCUAGUGUUGAAACUGAGAUUGAAAAUCUAACCGACACAGUCUCCACUAUCCGCGCUGUGCUUCUGGAUGCAGAAAUGCAGAGUUCUCAUAACCAUCAGAUCAAAGUCUGGCUCAGUAGGCUCAAAGAUGUACUCCAUGAUGCUGAUGAUUUGCUGGAUGAUUUCUCCACCGAAGUUAUGCGCCGCAAAGUGAUGACAAAGAAGGUACGCCUUUUCUCUUCAAGUUUAAAUCCGCUUGCUUUUAGUCCUAAGAUGGGUCAUGAAAUAAAGGCAAUUAGGGAGAAACUAAAUGCCAUUGCAAAAGAUAAGGAGGCUUUUCACUUUAGUCAAAGCUUGGUUGAGCCACGAGUCAUGACUAGGGGGGACAGAGAAACUUAUUCUUUUGUACUCGAAGAUGAAGUUAUUGGGAGAGAGGAUGAUAAGAAAGAGAUUAUGGAACGUCUUUUUGAUGACAAUGUUGUAGCGAAUAUUUCUAUCAUUCCAAUUGUUGGUUUCGGAGGAUUGGGCAAGACGACACUGGCUCAAUUGGUAUACAAUGAUAAAAAUGUCCAGACAGAAUUUGAGAUAAAACUUUGGGUUUGUAUCUCUGAUGUCUUUGAUGUACAGCGGAUUGUUAAAGAAAUUUUAGAACAUUUGACAAAAAGGACGCAUGAAGGAAGCAUUGAGAUGUUGCAAACUCAGCUUCGAGAAGAGCUUAAUGGAAAAAAAUACUUGAUUGUCUUGGAUGAUUUGUGGAACGAGGAGAGUAAUAAAUGGCUUCUCUUGAGAAAUUUGUUAAUGGGUGGUGCAAGGGGAAGUAGGAUAAUAGUGACCACACGCUCAGAAAGUGUAGCGAGGAUACUAGGGGCAACUUCAUGGCAUGCUCUAAGAGGCCUACCUGAAGAAAAGGCUUGGAGUUUGUUUGUGAAAGUAGCAUUUGAAAAUGGUCAACUGCCAAAGAAUGAAGCCUUUGAAAGUUUGGGUAGGGAGAUUAUGCGGAAGUGUGGUGGGGUACCUCUAGCCAUAAGGACGAUAGCAAGCUUGCUAUGCACCAAAGCUACAGAAAAUGAGUGGCGAUCCUUCAAAGAUUAUGAACUCUCAAAAAUAACUCAAGAAGAAGAAAAUGUUAUUUUAUCAACACUUAAGUUGAGUUAUAAUCAUCUACCAUCGUACUUAAAGCAAUGCUUUGCUUAUUGUAGAUUGUUUCCAAAAGAUUACAAGGUUGAUGUAGCAACAUUGAUUAAUCUUUGGGCAGCACAAGGUUUUAUUAAGUUAUCAGAUUCAAAGCAACGUGUUGAGGAUGUCGGGCGAGACUACUUUAUGGUAUUACUUCGGAGAUGUUUUUUUCAAGAUGUAGAAAAAGAUGAAUACAACAUUAUAUCAUAUUGCAAAAUGCAUGAUCUCAUGCAUGAUCUUGCAGCUCUUGUGGCUGGGAUGGAGAGUACCAUGCUAACUUCGAGUGGGGAGUUUAAUGGUAAAAAAGUUCGUCAUGUAUCAUUUGAUCUUGAAGAUUCCUCAAGGAAACUUUCAAUUUUCAAGGUUAAAGGAAUGAAGAUACGAACAAUUCUUAUAGCUAGUGUAGGGGGGAAAUUGAGGAACUUAACUUGCAAUGCACUUGUUUCAAAUCUCAAUUAUUUACGGACAUUAGAUUUAAGUGAAUUAAAUCUACUUGUAGUGUCACAUUCAAUUGGAGAAUUAAAACAUUUAAGAUAUCUUGAUCUUUCUAUAAAUUAUAAUAUUAAAUUUCUCCCUAAUUCCAUUACAAAGCUGCUAAAUCUACGGACGCUGAAACUCUAUUCUUGCCUUUCACUUAAAGAGUUACCGCGGGGCCUUAAGAAGUUGGUCAAUCUUAGGCAUUUAGACGUUAGUAGGUGUGUCAAUUUGACGCAUAUGCCCCUUGGACUUGGGCAUCUUACUUCUCUUGAGAUACUAACGAGGUUCGUCGUGAGGCAAGGGGGUUCCAAGGCCUGCUCGUAUGGUUGGUAUAAGAAAAAACAGGCUGAGUCUGGUGGUGGGCUAAGUGAAUUGAAGGAGCUGAGCAAUUUGGGAGGAAGUCUACUCAUUCAAAAUUUGGGACAUGGAGAAGAUGACAUGGUGGAAUGUAAAGCCACAAAUAUGAAGCAGAAACAACAUCUUCAAGAGCUGCUAUUAUAUUGGAAUGAAGAGUGGGAUGAUGGAGAAACUGAAUGUUAUGAUGACAUGUCACUGGAAGGGCUCCAGCCACAUCCAAAUCUUAAAGCGUUGGGAUUGUGGAAUUAUAUGGGUGUGAGAAUUCCAAGUUGGGUCUCUUCUCUCACUAAUCUUGUUAAAUUUGAAUUAUGGUUUAAUGAAAGAUUGCAGCACCUCCCACCGUUAAAUCAACUCCCUUUUCUCAAGGUUGUCUCUAUUUAUGAAAUGUUUGCACUUGAAUACAUUUCAGAUGAAGACAGUGUUAGUAACGUGUUGGGUGCUUCCUCUUCUUCUUCUUCUUCUUCUUCUUCAAAAACACCAUUCUUCCCAUCCUUAUCUUCUCUUAGAAUAGAGGGAUGCCCAAAACUGAAGGGAUGGUGGAGGAAUUCAGAUGAUGAUGAUAAUAAUGAGCCACACCAUCUCUUACUUCCAUCAUUUCCUCCUUCUCUUUCGGAAUUAAGAAUCGUCCAUUGCCCUAUCCUGACUUCCAUACCCCUGAUUCCCCCCUCUCUGAAAAAUCCACUUAUUGGUGGUUGUCCCCUCUUACGGCUACACGAAGGAAACAGUGAAGAUUGUCCCAAAUAAUCCAACAAGAAAAAACAAUUUAUUCAGAAUCUAAUUUAGAAUCGGAGUUGGUUUGUUCACUUCCAGAGGGGGAAUUAGCUUGUUUUUCAAGUUGUUAAUUACAGAGCUACACUCAAGUUUAAGAACUUUUGGAUUUUCAAGUGCUUCUUAUUUUGUCACUUUCUCUGCCUCCUGAAGCCAUAGUCCUUGCUGCAUUUGGUUGUGAAGUCCCUGUAAACUUGAGGCUGCAGAACACCUUUUUUUUUUUUUUAAUCAGUGGGGUCCAAACAAACAUGAGUAGGAGAGAAUCUUUUCAUCAAUAUUUGUUUGGUUGUAUUUAGCAUAUAAAUGAAUCACAUCACCAAAAAAAAAAAAAAAGGAGGAGAAGAGAGAAUUACUUGGGGAGAUGACAUUUUUGGCAGUGGAAUUUCUGUUGGAGAAAACCGGCUUGUAAAGAAGGUCUGCAUUGGCAUUGAGUUUUUGUUUCUUGAACAAAUCCUCUGGCAACUCCGUCACAAUCUUAGGCUCAAAAUCACUUUCUUCCUCAACCUGCUGCUCUUCCACUUCCACAGGAUCAAGGAAUUGACUCCAAUCGCUUCGUCUCUUGUUAUUAUGAACGUGAUCGUCAUGGACAAUAUCCUCUUCUUCUUCUUCUUCUUCUUGGAAUUGUGGAAGUGGAAGUGGGGGUGGUUCGGUAAUGGCGCAGGACAUGUUGAAGGACUGGACGAAGCCGCGGAGGUCCUUGGCAACAAAUCCCUGCACGAACACUUUGCAAACAGACUGCAUUUGGUUGCACACCACGCACCUCCACUUGCUGAUUUUCUUCUUCUUCUUCUGUUGCUGCUGCUUCACCUGAGACAAAAUCUCAACUUCCAUCAAAUCACAAUCAAAUGAGAUAGAGUCUAGCUGGUUUAUUUAGUCUAGUGUGUCUGGACAUGCACAAAUCUAAUGACUCUGUUUGAAUAUUGGGCAACAUUGCGCAUGUUCUUUUCAUUAAUCAAUGCAAAGAAGAGGAGACCAACAUGCAGGGCCCCCACACUAGUAUGGGGGAUAGUGGACGUGGAACUUUUAAGCCAUUGAGAGGUAGAAUGAGUAAGGAUGGUUGAGACAUGAUUGGUAAGAGAAGCAGUUUGAUUAAAUAUCCCAAAGAUGGAGUAAUUCACUGCAAAGCAAUGCAGAGAUUGCAGCACCUCCCACCGUUAAAUCAACUCCCUUUUCUCAAGGCUGUUUCUCUUAAGGGAAUGGACGCACUUGAAUACAUUUCCUCUUCUUCUUCUUCAAAAACACCAUUCUUCCCAUCCUUAUCUUUUCUUGAAUUAUAUAGAUGCCCAAAACUAAAGGGAUGGUGGAGGAAUUCAGAUGAUGAUGAUGAUAAUAAGCUAUACCAUCUCUUACUUCCAUCAUUUCCUCCUUCUCUUUCGACAUUAUGGAUUGGCAAAUGCCCUAACUUGACUUCCAUGCCCCUGAUUCCCGAUCUCACCUCUUUGAAAGAGCUAGAUAUUAAAGAUUGUCCCCUCUUACGGCUACAAAGGAAACAGUGAAGAUUGUCCCAAAUAAUCCAACGAGAAAAAACAAUUUAUUCAGAAUCUGAUUUAGAAUCGGAGUCGGUUUGUUCACUUCCAGAGGGGGAAUUAGCUUGUUUUUCAAGUUGUUAAUUACAGAGCUACACUCAAGUUUAAAGAACUUUUGGUUUUCAAGUGCUUGUUAUUUUGUCACUUUUUCUGCCUCCUAAAGCCAUAGUCCUUGUUGCAUUUGAUUGUGAAGUCCCUGUAAACUUGAGGCUGCAGAACGCCUGUUGUUUUUUAAUCAGUGGGGUCCAAACGAACAUGAGUAGGAGUGAAUAUUGGAUAGAAGUUGGAAUCUGAUGGAAUCUUUAACCACUUCAGAACUUAAAAUUCAGACCUUAUUCAAAACUUUCGGGCCUUGCAAUUGUGCUGCAUAUCCCUGAAUUGCAAGUGGAUUAUCGGAAUCUGCUGAAAAUAAUUUAUUCUGAACCAACUGAGGCAAAAAACAAGCUUGGGUACAAAAUUUGGACCCUAUCCAAAAACUGCAGUUGUGCAACAGGUCAAGAACUCAGUGUAUCAAAGCAAAUUUCUUAGAACUUUCAAGGGAGGACUUGACCAGGCAACAAACACUGCAGGAAUUAGCUUACUAAACCGUCUCUGUUCGAACAUUGGGCAACAUUACACAUGUUCUUUUUUAUAAUCACUGGAAAGCAGAGGGGGCGAUCUGUGUAAUGGAUGGAUAAGGUGUAUGGAGUUUUUAGGCCAAAGAGAGGUAAAAGGAGUAAGGAUGGUUGAGCUGUGAUGGGUGAGAGAGGCAGUUUGAUUAAAUGUCCCAAAGGCAAAGUAAUUUGCAGCAAACUGAUGCAGUGAAUCGUAGCAAAUUUGGUAGAAUUUUGAAGGGAGGAAUAUGACCAGGAAACUAACACGCCAGGGAAUCAGCUUACUAUAAAGUCUCUGUUCGAACAUUGGGCAACAUUACGCUUGUUCUUUUUUGUAAUCACUGGAAAGCAGAGGGGUCGAUCUGCAUAAUGGAUGGAUAGAGUGUGUGGAGGUUUUAGUUCAAAGAGAGGUAAAAGGGGUAAGAAUGGUUGAGCUGUGAAGGGUAAGAGAGGCAGUUUGAUUAAAUUUCCCAAAGGUGGAGUAAUUUGCUGCAAAGUGAUGCAGAGUUAAGAUGGUAAGGGCCUCUAUCCUCAGUUUGGAGACUAUUUGCCUUAAUGUCUUAAGGAGAGCCAUUGUUUUGGGUUUAAUGGAGAAGCAAAUAGAGAUGACAGUUCAUCUAAGCAUGCAAUCUUUCUUAUAACUCCUAAUCUGUGUGACUUGAGCCUACACAUUUGUUUGUGUUUUUUAAUUUGCUUGGAUCUUGCUGCAGCCUUCUACUGCUGGAGCCUGUUCCUCAUCUCCAAAUAUUUGGAAGUACACACAUAAUCCUUUAUUUACAUGUUGAAUCAUUGAUGAGAAGACUGACUUUGAAGUCAAAGAAGAAUGAGAGAAUGAGUCAAUGACUGAAUGAAUCUAAUUUGUUCAUUAAUGCACAAAUUCAAAGGUUGUUCUGCUCAAAACAAAACCCAAGUUUAAGAACGUUUGGUUUUUCCAUUGGUUGGUAAUUUGGCACUUCCUCUCUCUUCUAAAGCCGUGGUCCUUUCUUCUUGAAUUUUGACUGUCGAGACAAAAUUCAGGAACCUGCCCUGUUCAAAACUCUCUGGGCUUGAAAUCGUGUAACAAGUCGUGGACUCAAUGGCUUUUGCAUUUGGUUUCUGUAUCAAGCAAUACAUAGACCAGGUGAAAUCUGGCACUUCUUGACCAUGAGUUACAAUUGUUCAAGAGGGCGAAUCCUGACUACAAUGCACGAGGAAAUGGCUUGGAGCUAUUAUCCAUGUAAACUAUCUUAAUAUUUUACUAAAAAAAGGUCACUAAUUAUCACCUUGUAUGUAGUCUAUGAGAAGAUUUCACAGAAUAAUGCCUUUUUCUCAAUUUCAUUUUCUAAAGCUUAAUGUGCACCAAAAACACCAAUAUGCUUUAGAGUUAUAAGUUGCAAAAUUAGAGGGACGACUUUUACUUUAUGCAUUUGAUAGGCGAGAAAGAGCAAUAUGGCAAAGAGGGUUUUGACAUCAUUUGGUAUUUGGUAGACAAAACUACUUGAUUUGGCUUUAUACAUUUUUUUUAAUAAGUAUGCAUUUUGUUUAAAAAAAAACACAAAAAGGGGCACAACCUGGUACACUAGAUGUGUACAAGAGAUUUAAUAUUCUUAAUUCAAUUAUGUAGUUCAAAUCAUGUGGGAAUUUCAUGUUUCUAAAAAGUGUGAUGAAUACUUUGCCAAUUUUUAUUUCUCAAACUAUCAUAAACAUCUUUCAAGAGCUUUCAAUUAUGUUGAAUUUCUAAAUUAUGUGUUUCUGUAUAUAAAACAGAGGAGAGUGUGGCAUUGAAACCAAAAGGAUUUUCAAAGACGGUUCUACAAAAAUCAGGCAUCAUCUUUCUAUAGAUUGAUUUUCUCUUUUAGUGCAGUCUGGAGCUCAUUGCUGUGUACAAUUGAUAAUUUCAAGUGCAGGGAAAACUUGUGCUUGCUCCAUUGAUGGAGUUUGAGACUUCCACAACAAAGGACCUCUUUGUUUGGAUGGAGGCCACUGUGUCGUCUUUGAAGUAAGUAUGAAAUAUGAAGAUGAUCCAUAUCUUUGUGUAUUUUGGAGAUAAGGGGAAGUGAGCAUUUUCUGGAAGAGACUUGAAUUAGGGAGAGGGAGAUUACGUCCCUGGUUGACUUCCAUUCAAAUGAAAUACCUUGUUUUUUUACCUGAAUUCUCCUAUCAAAUUUUGUUCCUAUUGGAGAACGUUGGAAUUUCCUUAUAGCUGAUAUAGCCGCUUGGUGAAAUUAUCAAUCAAUGAAGAGUUGGUGACCAAAGCUUCGUCCUUCCAUAUGCCCUGUAAAAGCAAAUUUUUAGAAGCCAUAAGAACUUACAUAUUCCUUGCAGCAAUUGAAGUUAAAGUUAACUGUAGGAAAAGAAUUCUGGAAGAGCUCAACUUCCCUCCCCUGCCCCCCCUCUGUUUAUAUUGAUGAGAAUGCUUAUGUUCUAGGGUCAUAUGAAUUUUACUCUGCAUUUAGUUAGGAUGUAAUGCCCUUCCUAGAUUUUAGAUCCUUACUACUUGAAGUAUGAGUGUAUUCCUUCAAAAUUUCUGAAGGGUAGGUUGUCCAUUGUCCCAUGUAUGGUUUUAGCUGGUUCACUUAAGGUCAACUUUGUGUUUAGUUAUUUAUUCUUAUAUUCAAAAUAUUCUUUUUUACGUAUUUAUUUGGCCCUAGAGCAUAACAUUCACAAAUUUUACAUAUUUAAAAGCUUGAUAUAAACAUUAGCAAUUCUUCUGGUAAUGUCCUACUUGCUAAGUUUAUAGUAUUUCUAAAUCACUGAUACCUUGUCUUUAGAGCAAAAUUUACUUCUUUAUUUUUUGUCAGAUUUAAGUAGUUUUAUUUCAUACAUCCUUGAAGAAGGCUGGAAAAAUUCACAAGUGCAACUCUGAAAUGUCAAAUGUGUAUUUCCAUUAUAAAAAAAUAAUAAUAAUAAAUAAAUAAAAAUCUAAUGAGAAGAGGGAAAUCACCACUAUACAAUUCCCUCUUAUUUUCCUUUGUAUUUACUCUACUGCUACCAUUGAGAUUUAAUUGUGUUGAAUAAUUCACUCCUUUUCGACCUUAUCUUCUCGAACUUUCCAUUACUUUGACGGCAAGAGCUUCUUCCUUUGCAAUAUUUUUACUGGAGUUGUUCAACUAUUAGAAUGGUUUUGUUUAACUGUUUUUGUUUUGGUCAGUAUGGUCAUAUUUAUCUCAUGAAGCUCUUGUUGUUUUAUUUCUUUUUCUUCAUUGUUGAUGACUACUACAUUAUGUUUUGUAGUUAAGAUAGUAAGAGCCUCUAUCCUCAUUUUGCAGACUAUUUUCCACAAUGUCUUAAGGAGAGCCAUUGUUUUGGAUUAAUAGAGUGGCAAAUAGAGAUGACAGUUCCACUAAGCAUACAACCCAUCUCAUAACUCCUUUUUCUGUGAGAGGGAUGUCGGCCAUUAUAUGGACAUGUAGUUCCCCAUAGAAGGGUUAUCGAGUGGAGACUAUACAACAUUAAGCUGACGAAGGGAAAUUUACAUUUGUCUUGAAUCUAGCUAUAAUAAGGAAGAUAUCUAAGAUCACAUAAUGAUGUCGAUUGGUCAGUUUUGUCCUGUUGAUGAAGUAUUAGUCAUCUUCAAAUGUUUUGGGAGAGAAAUGAGGACAAUUGAGUGGAUCAGGUCAUUUCAUCCAGAAUGCUGAAUUCGCAAUUCUCAACAUGUUGAAAAUUGUUGUCUGCUAGAUUUUAUCAAAUAUAUCAUUUCGUCUUCAAAUUUCAUGAUUUGGCCCAUUUGGUGGUCAACUUUGUGUGAGGUUUUGGUGGAUCAACUUAUUGGGUUCCUUAUUAUAACUAGGGUGCUCUUUGUACUUGUAUGGCCAAUUAAGGUUUUGAAUAUAUUUUUUUUCUUGUGGGGAUGGAAACAUUGGAAAGAAAUUCUACUUGUCUACAAGCCUAAGAAAUUUAAGCAAAUCAAUCAUUUUUAUUCUGUUUU
This is an RNA transcript of Quercus robur (English oak), 9001 nucleotides long. It is a transcript of the gene named putative disease resistance protein RGA4, with no coding region annotated. The record is from RefSeq and is a predicted model, not a curated record. The transcript is spliced from 25 exons. Lineage: Eukaryota; Viridiplantae; Streptophyta; Magnoliopsida; Fagales; Fagaceae.